Molecule: long non-coding RNA, 207 nt
Filed under: Mytilus galloprovincialis (Mediterranean mussel)
Lineage: Eukaryota; Metazoa; Mollusca; Bivalvia; Mytilida; Mytilidae
Source: RNAcentral
UUGUUUUUCGUUCAUUUUUUUUUUAUAUAAAUAAGGCCGUUAGUUUUCUCGUUUGAAUUGUUUUACAUUGUCGUAUCGGGGCCUUUUAUAGCUGACUAUGCGGUAUGGGCUUUGCUCAUAGUUGAAGGCCGUACGGUGACCUAUAGUUGUUAAUGUCUGUGUCAUUUUGGUCUCUUGUGGACAGUUGUCUCAUUGGCAAUCAUACCA